This 166-nucleotide ribosomal RNA is filed under the name Krameria cytisoides. RNAcentral's name for it is "5.8S ribosomal RNA". It matches the Rfam family "5.8S ribosomal RNA". Rfam says of the family: 5.8S ribosomal RNA (5.8S rRNA) is a component of the large subunit of the eukaryotic ribosome. The record is from RNAcentral. Lineage: Eukaryota; Viridiplantae; Streptophyta; Magnoliopsida; Zygophyllales; Krameriaceae.
CAAAAAUGACUCCCGAYAACGGAUAUCUYGGCUCUUGCAUCGAUGAAGAAYGUAGCGAAAUGCGAUACUUGGUGUGAAUUGCAGAAUCCCGUGAACCAUCGAGUCUUUGAACGCAAGUUGCGCCCAAAGCCGUUAGGUCGAGGGCACGUCUGCUUGGGUGUCACAC